GUGCCAGGCAGCCGCGGUAAUACCGGCAGCCCAAGUGAUGGCCGAUCUUAUUGGGCCUAAAGCGUCCGUAGCUGGCCGCGCAAGUCCGUCGGGAAAUCCACCUGCCCAACAGGUGGGCGUCCGGCGGAAACUGUGUGGCUUGGAACCGGAAGGCUCAGAGGGUACGUCCGGGGUAGGAGUGAAAUCCCGUAAUCCCGGACGGACCACCGAUGGCGAAAGCGCUCUGAGAAGACGGCUUCGACAGUGAGGGACGAAAGCUAGGGUCUCAAACCGGAUUAGAAACCCUGGUAGUCC
This 294-nucleotide ribosomal RNA is filed under the name uncultured bacterium. RNAcentral's name for it is "partial 16S ribosomal RNA". It matches the Rfam family "Archaeal small subunit ribosomal RNA", at positions 455 to 747 of the family's 1478-position model. The record is from RNAcentral.